CUCUUCGGGGAUGAUUAACCGGCGCACGGGUGAGUAACACGUGAGUGACCUGCCUUUUAGACUGGAACAACUUACCGAAAGGUGAGCUAAUGCCGGAUGAGUUAUAUAAGUGCAUGUUUAUAUAGGAAAAGUUGGGGAGACCUGACGCUGAAAGAUGGACUCGCGUCCCAUUAGCUAGUUGGUAGGGUAAUGGCCUGCCAAGGCGACGAUGGGUAGCCGGCCUGAGAGGGUGGCCGGCCACACUGGGACUGAGACACGGCCCAGACUCCUACGGGAGGCAGCAGUGGGGAAUUUUGCGCAAUGCUCGUAAAAGUGACGCACCGACCCCGCGUGAAUGACAAAGGCCUUCAGGUCGUAAAGUUCUUUCGACAGGGAAAAAAAUGCCUAUAAGUAACUGUGUAUGUAUUGACGGUACCUGUAUAAGCAGCCCCGGCUAACUCCGUGCCAGCAGCCGCGGUAAUACGGAGGGGGCGAGCGUUGUUCGGAGUGACUGGGCGUAAAGAGCACGUAGGCGGUGUUGUAAGUCCUUAGUCAAAGACUAGAGCUCAACUUUAGUAAGGCUAGUGAUACUAUAAUACUAGAGUAUCAAAGAGGAUUGCAAAAUUCCUGGUGUAGCGGUGAAAUGCGUAGAUAUCAGGAGGAAUACCGUUAGCGAAGGCGGCAAUCUGGCUGGAAACUGA
RNAcentral lists this ribosomal RNA (680 nucleotides) under uncultured bacterium. Its description in RNAcentral is "bacterial SSU rRNA". It matches the Rfam family "Bacterial small subunit ribosomal RNA", at positions 76 to 743 of the family's 1533-position model. The record is from RNAcentral.